AUUUUCUGUAAUAAGACUGAUAACAUCAUAAUUUGUUCUUUUUUGAAUAAUAACUUCAUUACAUACCUGCGACCCUCUUCAGAACUUCUUCUGUCCUUUUUAUUUUUUUUUUCCUCUUGAUAGUUUUUUUAUUUCAAAAGUAAAAACUUGGAAUCCUAUCAAAGACCAUUGAAGUCCCAAAAGAGUAAAUGUUUGUCAAUGAUGAAAGACAAGGAGCAUAACUUAUCUAAGGCUUCUUGGGGCCAGUCUGGUUUUGUUUUCUUUCACUGGCAACUCUCAUCUUUUUUGAUCAUAGGAAAUUUUCUUCAGGGAAGUCACUGAGACAGUGAAAAUACAUAGUACUGGGUUGUGGGGUCCGGAGACUUGGAUCCCAGCCCUGUAACAUAUUCUCCUUAUAGAGUCACUUUGAACAAGUCACUUAACCUCUGUCCCUUUUUGCCUUGUCAAUGAAAUGGAGGAUUGGAUGGGACUGGAUUAGCAGUGAUCACAAAUGGAGGUGCACAGACUCAUUUCUUGUGGCUGUUCCAUUAACAUAGUAUUUGAAAUUGGAGUUAGAGUGUUUUUAGGGGAAGAGUGCCCUCUCCAGGUCACCACCAGCCCUACCUGCGCUCCCUCCUUUACUUUUUACUUCCUGGCCUCUUGUGGCCCUUGUUAAUGAUCAAUAAUCAUGGGAGUAGUCACUGAGCUUGUUAUGUCUAUGGUAUUAAUUAUGGUUUUUUAUUGUUUUUCUUAAAGAUUUGUAGAAGAUAAAAUGUGGGUUACAUUUUUGGAGGGAAGCUCUGCCUUGAAUGUUCUGAGCCUAAAUGGUAAAGAGUUAUUGAAUCGGACUAUAACUAUUGCUUUAAAAAGUCCAGACUGGAUCAAAAAUUUGGAAGAAGAAAUGAGUUUAGAGAAAAUUAGCAUUGCAUUGCCAUCAUCAACAAGCUCUACCCUGCUUGGUGAAGAUGCAGAGGUUGCAGCAGAUUUUGAUAUGGAAG
RNAcentral lists this long non-coding RNA (977 nucleotides) under Homo sapiens (human). RNAcentral's name for it is "non-protein coding lnc-C21orf59-2:1". Lineage: Eukaryota; Metazoa; Chordata; Mammalia; Primates; Hominidae. The record is from RNAcentral.